RNAcentral lists this transfer RNA (72 nucleotides) under Flavobacteriaceae bacterium. RNAcentral's name for it is "tRNA-Asn". It matches the Rfam family "tRNA". From Rfam's summary of the family: Transfer RNA (tRNA) molecules are approximately 80 nucleotides in length. Lineage: Bacteria; Pseudomonadati; Bacteroidota; Flavobacteriia; Flavobacteriales; Flavobacteriaceae. The record is from RNAcentral.
GAUGCUGUAGCUCAAUGGCAGAGCGAGGGCCUGUUAAGUCCGGGGUUGGAGGUUCGAGUCCUCCGAGCAUCG